ACCCAUACUCCGGGGAUAGCCCAGUUGGUAGGGCCUAAGACCCUUGAUCUCUGGGUUGUUGGUUCGAGCCCCACGCUGGGCA
Podarcis lilfordi (Lilford's wall lizard) is the source of this 82-nucleotide non-coding RNA. The record is from the annotation of a GenBank genome assembly. NCBI's taxonomy places the organism in Eukaryota, Metazoa, Chordata, Lepidosauria, Squamata, Lacertidae.